This 253-nucleotide ribosomal RNA is filed under the name uncultured bacterium. Its description in RNAcentral is "partial 16S ribosomal RNA". It matches the Rfam family "Bacterial small subunit ribosomal RNA", at positions 524 to 776 of the family's 1533-position model. The record is from RNAcentral.
UACGUAGGGUGCAAGCGUUGUCCGGAAUUAUUGGGCGUAAAGAGCUCGUAGGCGGUUUGUCGCGUCGGCUGUGAAAACUCGGGGCUCAACCCCGAGCCUGCAGUCGAUACGGGCAGACUAGAGUGCUGUGGGGGAGACUGGAAUUCCUGGUGUAGCGGUGAAAUGCGCAGAUAUCAGGAGGAACACCGGUGGCGAAGGCGGGUCUCUGGACAGUUCCUGACACUGAGGCACGAAGGCCAGGGGAGCAAACGGG